Molecule: ribosomal RNA, 1409 nt
Filed under: uncultured Bordetella sp.
Lineage: Bacteria; Pseudomonadati; Pseudomonadota; Betaproteobacteria; Burkholderiales; Alcaligenaceae
Description: partial 16S-23S ribosomal RNA intergenic spacer
Rfam family: Bacterial small subunit ribosomal RNA
Source: RNAcentral
AUCAGGUAGUAACAGAGGCUCAUCUCUAUUCAGAUUGAACGCUGGCGGGAUGCUUACACAUGCAAUAACGGCAGCACGUGGACUUCGGUCUGGUAUAUAAGAACGGGUGAGUAAUGUAUCGAACGUCAUGAGUGGGGAGAAUUUAUAAAGAAAGGUAGCUAACAGGUCCACAUGACUCUUCGUAUGGGACCUUUCGGGCCUCGCACACAGGAGCGGUAACAUAUCGGAUUAGCUAGCUGGUAGUAAUCAGCAUGAUGAUCCGUAGCUGGUUUGAGGACGACCAGCCACACUGGGAUUGAGAUACGGCCCAGACUCCUACGGAGUGGGCAGUGGGACUUGGACAGCUGGGGAAACCCUGAUCCAGCCAUCCCGCGUGACAGCGGCUCGCUUAAAGCACUUUUGGUGAGGAAAAGAAACGGCACGGAGCAGCGUCACCUCGUGCAAUCGACGGUACUUUGGUGAGAAUAAGCACCGGCUAACCGCGCUUGCAGCAGCCGCGGUAAUACAUAGCGCAAGCGUUAAUCGAUACUACAAGGCAGCAAGUGGUCUGGUAGUGAUAAAUCCCAGAGCUUAACUUUGGAACUGCCUUUAACUACUUCGAGUAGAGUGUGUCGAGAGGGGGAAUGUGUAGCAGUGAAAUGCGUAGAUAUGAGGAACACCUACGGCGAAGGUAUUCUCCGAUAACAUCGACGGUUCGCACGAAAGCGUGGGGAGCAAACAGAUGAUGACUGUAGUUCACGCCCAAACAUGUCAAUCAGCUGUUGGGCCUUCGCCUGGUAGCGCAGCUUAACGCGAAGGACCGCUCGGGAGUGCGGCUCUAAGAUUAAAACUCAAAGGAAUUGACGGGGACCCGCACAAGCGGUGGAUGAUGACGAUCGAUGUGGUACGCGAAACUCACCUACCUUUGAGCACGUCUGGAAUCCCGAAGAGAUUUGGGAGCGCCGCGCAAGAGAACCGGAACACAGGUGCUGGCGGCCACGUCAGGCUCGUGUCGAGAUGUUGGGUUAAGCCUGCAACGAGAGCGCAACCCUUUGUCAUUAUUAGCACAAAGGGCACUCACGAGAUCGCCGGGUGACAAACCGGGAGGAAAGGUGGGAUGACGCCAAGUCUCGCGUCUUAUGGGUAGGGCUUCGCCAUCGUCAUACAAUGGUCGGGACGAGGUCGCCAACCCGCGAGGGGGAGCCAACUGCAGAAACCGCCGAUCGUAGUCCGGAUCGGCUCGUAACUGACUGCGUAGUUGGAAUCGCUAGUAAUUUGGAUCAGCAUAAUGCGGGUGAAUACGUUCCCGGGUCUUGUACACACCGCCCGUCACACCACAUGGGAGUGGUUUACUGGGUAAGUAGUGGCUGAACUGGGCGAGGCGGCGAUUACCACGCAGUAGGAUUCAACACUUAAAGUGUCGCACGCAG